AGUGGGAGGAGGGAGGGCGACAGACACCGAUUAAAAAGAGGGUGGGAGAGGAACAACUGACAGGCUCAAGAGCGAGAAGAGUGGGCAGCCGGAGAAGAGGCGGCCGAGGAGGAGGAAGCCCGCGGGAACUCCAGACAGGAGGAGUAAAAGGUUGUAGCCCUACAUUGUGCCCAAAUGCAGCUGGGAAACUGACCUCGGCCAGGGACCUUUCAUGUUAUAAACCGAGCUUCUGAAGUCUUGGUAUCUCUCUUCAGCUGAGCUAAGAUGGGUGACUGGAGCUUCCUAGGAGAGUUCCUGGAGGAAGUACACAAGCAUUCCACAGUGAUCGGCAAGCUCUCUGUCCUUUGUGUCACCUUGAUGCUGUGACCACAAGAGAAGGACAGCAAGAAGAAGACUUGGAGGGAGAGCAGAAGCACUCGGACCUCGCCCGUCAGUCAGCCCAUAAUGCACAGAGCUCUGGAGUCAGGCAUGGAAGUGUUAAAAUCCCAGCUGCUGAUUUACAGCUGGACUCCAGCAAAACUACUUCAUCUCUGUGCCUUGGUUUCCCCAUCUGUGAUUUGAGCCUAGUAAUAUGUAUGUCAUAGGGUUGUUAAAUGAGAGACUGUAGAGAGUUCAACAGAGUGCCAGGGAAAUAAUAGUCUGUCAUUAAGUGGUAAUUGUGGUUAUAGUUGUUAUUAUUAUCUUGAUCAUUUUGUUAUUAUGUUGAAUACAUAGUAUUUGAAAACCUCAGGUAUUGGAUGGAGCUCACAAUCUACCCAAGGUAAUCAAAUUAACUCACACAGUGGAAAAACUCAGGAUAGAAUUAAAUGGGAAUUCAUUUACUAUCAGUUUAAGAAUAAGGAUCUCAGAAGUGAGACUAUGAGAAAACUACAUAGAAGAGGAGAGACCUGACCUGGACCUUAAAGAAUGGCUAAGGUUUUAGAGAAGUGAGGGCCUCAGGGAUGACCUGUAAAAUAGGUCAGAGUAUCCCCACUGUACAGACAUGGAAACUGAGGUCCAGGAAUGUUCCCCGAGAGGGGGCAGCUUCUCUCUGGCCUCUCUAAUUGGGACCACAUCUCUUUGGAAGAGAAGAAAUGAUUCUUGCUCCAAACAAAGAAUGAAGGGAUCACCCAACCUUUUACCAACAAACCAGUGCCAUUUACUAGAGAAAGAAGCAAAGACUGAGAAAAAUAAAAGUGUUGUCUUAACUACCAGUCUGUCUUGUUCAUCAGGGUAGGAAUGCUCUUUUAAACAGCACUUGCAAAGAGAUCAUAGAACACAUGACACUUGUGUUGAGACUCAGGGGUACAUCUGGCAUCUAUCCAAGGGUAAGGUGCUCAGCCCAGAAGGGCCUGAAUAGUUCAACUGGAAAAAUCACCUGGGACCCAUUUCUUCUCCUAGAAAAUAAGCAGUGCAUCUCAUGGUUUUAUAAACAUAGCUAUUAACAUUUAAAAGUUUAUAUUACACCCAGACUGCAAAAGCCAAGGGACUUAUUUUAUAGUGAAUAAGGUAUCAACCUCAUGUAUCUACUCUCAUUUUCUCUUCCUUUCCCCUCUAAAGGUUCAGCCCUGAAGAGCGUAAAUUGUGUAGUAAUACAGUGAAUGCACUCUGGGUUGUAGGCCCCCACAGGCCUGUUCCCUUAAUUUCCUUCCUCCAGUGCCAGAUAAGACUAUAAUUUCUAACACUAGUGUUUCAUUCCCAUAGCUAAAGUGUUUAAGUGGUUAAAUGCUAAAAACAUUUCUGUGAAGAAUCAUAGUAAGAAUGAGCUUCAGAUUUCUUCCUAACAGCAAAUUUUGGUGGCAGAGAGAAAAACAGAAGGGCCCUAGGUGCCUUGCAGGUGUCUUGAAGGACUGCUUUUGUGAUGUAGAGAUGAAGAAAACAGCAAGGCUAGAGGUGGGUGACAAAGAUAAGCUGCGCACAUCCCAAUCCGUGUAUUAGAUAAUAAGCAGAAUUUACAAAUGAUAGGUAUGUAAAUACAAUAAGAUCAACAGUCUUUCCUCUCAUUGGCCACCUGAUGGUCGUCAGAGAUGGGUAUGGUCUAUACUUUUUUACUGUUGUUUCAACUGGAAAAGAGAAAAACUUUCAUUCAACAAGUUUUUAUUGAGCACUAUUUUAUGCUAGACACUAUGUUAGCUUUUAGGAAUACAAUUUUAUAAAACAGGAUUCUAGCCUUUCAGAACUCACAGUCUAGUGGGGCAGAGACCCUAACACAAAGUAACAAUCAAAAUAAUUACAAAUUGUGAUAAAUGCCAAAAAGGAAAUGGAUAGGGUGCUAUCAAAGGCAGAGGUAGGCCCCUCCUUCAGAUAGGAUGGGCAGAAAGUCUUUUCUGAGGAGUAACAUUGAAACUGAGAUCUGACAGCUGAGAAGAAGCCAGCCCCACUAAUGAGUAGGACAAGUGCCCAAGUAGGAGAACCCAAAUUCCUUCCAGGAAACCCCAGAAUGUGGCUGUCUCUGACCUCAGGCUGGUCCAGCGUCCUUGACAGACACAGAAUUCAGGCAGCACAUAGACAGCAUCUAAAACAACACUGUUUGGCACCCCUGUUAUAAAACACACAUACUUUCAGCAAAAGCCUCAAGGACAGAGAGAAGGGAGCAAUUAAAAGGUUUUAAUUAAAGCAACUAAGUGUCAUAAGUUGACAUUCUAAAAAGCCCUAUUUGAUGUUGCAACUAUUAUUUCCACCAAUAUUGAUUCUUUUAACACUCUUGGGGCCUUCUAAACUAGGCCCAUACCCGAGAGUUCAGGCUGGUAGGCAGAAGACUGCAUCCAAAGGGACUGGGAAAGAGCUGGCAGGGUGUGGUCAAGAGGAGCCUUGGCAUCAGAGUCAAAACAGGGAGAUGUCAAGUGCCUAGAGAAGGGGGCGGGAUGAGGAAGGAGGGGGAGCACGUUGGCAGGGAAGCCAGGCCGCAGAAGUUGUGCAAGACGCCAGGCUGGCAGGUGCUCCUGGGGACAUCUCAGCUGGCAGCAGGGCCACAGCCCUAAUCUGGAAUUGGAGCAAGACCUCUGGACUCAGAAGAGGGAGUUGGCAUGGUCAGAGCAGAGCUUCAUCCUCGGGGCUGGGUUACUAGGCAAGGCACAGGGACAGAGUCUUGUAUAGAGCACAAGGCGGAUGCCUGUCACAGAAUUACCAUGAGGUGCUGAUGAAUGAGGUAUUGCCAGUAACAUAUGUAACUUAAUACAUGCCUGCAAAGCCCUAAACCAAAGGAAUAACCAAUAAUGAGAACUGCAAGCACUGCAUGAGGCACGGUGGUGGGUGAGGAGACGAUCUUGGGCAUGGAACCUAAUACUGCUCUGCAAUCACCUAAGGCCCGUGCAGCCCUGGGGAGGCAGCAUGGCCUGGAAACAAGACUGAAGGCCCCUCUGUCUUUCUAACCUGGCUGACUUUUCCAUUGCCCUGAUUCACUACCCUUAUGGGGUAGGGCACAUUUACUUGCUAUCCUGGGAUUCCUCAGAAACGGAAAGCCAGGCAGGAACCUGCUGAGGAGAGCUCCCUGCCCUGGGCUCUGCAGCCUGGCCAGUGCUAAAUUUCCUCUGGCAGCAGCUACUCUUCAAAUAACAGUGGGUAUUUAGGGCAAGGUGGAAAGUCGUUUUUUCCUCUCCUGGAAUUUAUUUUCAAAUGUGUUAAAAUAUAACUUGGAGGGAUUUAAGCUUACAUUUGUUCGAGGUAAAAUUGCACAUUUGGAAACCGAUGUAAAAAUCUGUGUAGGGUGUCAUUGGCUGAGGUAAAGUCAAUUUAAAAAACCCCACGUAUUUUGGUAAUAAUUAUGAAACAAGCUUGCAACUGUUAAGUGCUGUGUUCCAGGUCCUGUGCAAAGAGAUUUUAUGAAUUGUCAUUUCAUCCUUAUAAUAAUCCUAUGAGGUCAUUUGGCCCUACUUUACAGAUAAUGGAAUGGAAGGAUUUAGUAACCUGCACAGCCCGGAGGUGGUAGAACUAAGAUUCAAAUAAUCAUCUCCCUGCCUACAUAUUUCUUUUAAGUACUUAUGAUAUGUUCUUAAGCAAAAAGGUAAGAUACAAAACUGUAUAUACACCAUGAUUACGACGCAUAAAAUAAGUAUUUAUAAGAUCCAAGGCCUGAAAGGAACAAACGAAAUGAAAGCAACUGGGCCAGUGCAGUGGGUCUGUGGGGCCGCUUGAACUCUCCUAGUGUUCUCAACUAUUUUUAUGUUAUCAUGUUGUUUUUGUAAUUUAAAAAUUUAGAAUAUAUUUAUAUUUAACCUUUGGGCUAAAUUUGGUGUCCCCUUGGGGUGGUGGCAGGGGCUGCCUCUCUUCAUUUCCGCAGUGCUCAUGCCUGGGAACAUUUUUCUUUGUCUGGGCUCUGCCUGCCACCCUUAAAUGGAAUAAGAUUAGCAGAACGCACCCACCCAGGGUCUGGGCUGUUGACAGUGGAAGAGCAGAGGGUCUGCCAGCACGUGGGAGGGGGUGCGGGAGGCAUGACCCGUACUCAGGAGCUCUUGCCCACCCUCAGUGCCCUGCGUGUGGAGAGUCCGCUGUGUGUCAAGGCAGGGCCCUGGGCCAGGCACUGCCUGGGCAGUCUGGGAGGCUGUCAGUGAGAGGGAGGCCUGCCCCAGAUGCUCAGAUCUAGUAGGGGAGGAGAAUGAUGCUGUGUUGCAAGGGAGAAGCUCGGAGUGGUGAGUACGGGAGAAAUGCCAGUGCAGGUUCUCUGAGCAAGGUGGGCACUGGGGAGAGAGAAAGCUCAGGAAAAGCUAUACAGAGUAUGUGCCACUUGGAAUGGCUGUGAAAGAUGCAUAAGAUUUUAUUAGUAGUAGAGAGAAGACUUUUAGUGGCAGGGAGUAGCAGGGAUCCAAAGAUCAGUGACGGAAGGUCAGAAUAUGUUGUAGGCACUGGGAGGAGGCCUGAGGGGGUCAGGGGGGAGGGGAAGCCGAGGUGGGAAGCACCCAUUUAGAGGAUUCCUGAUUCUGCUCUGCAGGCUCUGAGGAACUACUGAGUUUCCUUUGGCAUCUGGGGCGUGGGAUGAUCACCGCUGAACUUGAGGCACAUCAAUGUGCCACGGAGGGAAGACCCCGAGGACUUGGAGGCUGUAGGGUCCAUGAAGCUCUCCUCCGAGCCAGGCGUGAAGCGGGAGGACACAGAGCCUCAGCCACUGACUGGUGACUGCUUGGGUGUGUGCUGGGGGUGGCAGUGGGAGGAGGAAGUCAGGUCUCACUGACCAUGAACUCAUUGAUUCAACAAAAUUCAUUCCAUUCAUUUAUUUAACAUAAGUAUGGUGUGCCUCACAUAGUGCCCGGGGAUUCAAAGAGGAAAGCUGGGUAAGACAGCGACGGUUAUGCAGUGGAGGGGUAGGAGGUAUUUGUGUGUGGAUCCUUUUAUGUAUGACUUCACGUCCUCUCAGCCUGCCUGCCUCUUGUUCAAGCUGCCUGUAGGUGUGGACUAAGUUCACACGGGUGCAUCUGACCUCCCUCCAUGUCUCCUCAAGUGACACAGUGGUAGAACUCUGCUCACUACCUAUGCCAAACUUGAGCAACCCAGAAUGCAACCUCUGGGUUGCAAUAGGGCAAACCUCUGACCAGUGGGAGACAGGGCCCUUCCUCCCCCUUUGCCCCCACUACUUUGGUGAUCCAGGCUUCUCCAGGGUGUGGUCCUUUGGGCUGAGCAACCAGCCCCACUUGACAGUGCCCCACUUGAUAGAACGUCUUCCGAUUGGCUCUGCCUCCUUCCCUGUCUCCCUCCCCUUGUUCCCCACUGUGGCUCCUGGAGCAGUACAACCUAAUAAAGU
Molecule: non-coding RNA, 5713 nt
Organism: Manis javanica (Malayan pangolin)
Lineage: Eukaryota; Metazoa; Chordata; Mammalia; Pholidota; Manidae
Source: RefSeq, a predicted model, not a curated record